UUUUUUUUUUUUCCAGCUAAGGCACUGGCUUAAGAUGGUCAUUAUCAAGAAGUUUCUUAUGCUAAUAUCAUUAUCUAAAGAAGAUGAUAAUUUUUAACAUGAUAGUUUAUGCUUUGCCGAAGAAUCAUUACACAACCAAUAUAAAUAGGCAUGUUGAAUUGAGAAAUUUUCAAUAUAAAAUCCACAAAAAUGAGAUACAAAUGAAACGAUCAACAAAGCAUUAUGCCAUUUCUCCAAAUACAACAAAACCUUUCCUACAUUAUGUCAUCUAUUAAUUGUUAUUGUUGUUUAUUGAGAAGGGCCAAAUCCUUAUUUUGUUAAGAUUUACAUAAUGUUUUGUUCAAUUCUACUACAAACUUUGGAAUUCAUUUGAAAUGAAUUUUAGCUAGAAUUCAUUUGAAGUGAAUCCCAUUGUUUGGUAUGACACAACUUAAAAUUUAGAAUUCAAUUGAAUUCCAUA
This 460-nucleotide unclassified non-coding RNA is filed under the name Hevea brasiliensis (rubber tree). Lineage: Eukaryota; Viridiplantae; Streptophyta; Magnoliopsida; Malpighiales; Euphorbiaceae. The record is from RNAcentral.